GCCUCGGUGGUGUAGUGGUAGUAGCACGCGUUCCCGGUACGGAUGGAUUGCCUGUUCUAUUCCCGUCUGAGGCC
This is a non-coding RNA of Parelaphostrongylus tenuis, 74 nucleotides long. The record is from the annotation of a GenBank genome assembly. Lineage: Eukaryota; Metazoa; Nematoda; Chromadorea; Rhabditida; Metastrongylidae.